Molecule: long non-coding RNA, 2348 nt
Organism: Zingiber officinale
Lineage: Eukaryota; Viridiplantae; Streptophyta; Magnoliopsida; Zingiberales; Zingiberaceae
Exons: 7
Source: RefSeq, a predicted model, not a curated record
AUCAUGUGUAAAGGUGGAACUGUCUCUCAAAUAAAGAGCAGUGUUUCGAAGGAACUGCUAGAAAGUAAUGAAUCCCUCUUUCUUGUCAUUAUUAUGUUUAGUUGUCUAGCCUACCUAUAUGGUGUGCUUUCAUAUAGGAACAUAAGUGAUACAUCAAGGUUGUCAUUCUGUGUAGCAUGUUUCAUUCUAUUAACUCCAUAUAACAAUUGUAAAGUAGUACAAUCUACAAAAUUUUCAUUCUUGUAAUGAUCUAGAAUAUGUCGUAAAAUCAAUCAUUAUAACAUUGAUGCUAGCAUGGUCAAGGAUUUAUUUUGAUUGAGUAAGAAAUUUGAUUUGUUUUUAUUUUAAAAUUUGUAUAAGCUGUUACAAGAUGCUUUGUUGAUGUUCAAGCUCUACAAAAUCAUGACAUCCCAAGGUUUCCGAUGAAGGCAUUUCAUGGAUGGUAUCUGUAGUUGAAGACUUUCGAAUUGCACAUAUAAAGCUAGAGGUGCUAUUGGAAUCUUUUUACCGCUUGUAAUUCUCACAAAUCCUCUCUUCAAAGUAAGUGUUGGUUAUAGAAUUUAAUUAAUUUUUGCAAAGAGUUUGGGCUGUAAUCUACAAUCAGGAAAGUGUACUGUUAGACUUAUUGGAGUCUUACAUAAACUUGUAGGCUCAGUUUAAAUUUUUGACUUUUCAAAUAAUAAUUGUUAUGACAAUGAGAAUCUUAAGUUUUGCUUUAUGAGACAUUAAAGGUUUCCUCCAAUGCCAAGCUUACUCUUUUGAGUCCUUUGGAUGCUAAGUGUGAAAAGAAUGCAUAUGAGGGUGUGUUGCAACAAAUCCCAAGAAAUUAGUGAGAGUAUUGGAUUCUCUUUUUCCGAAUCUAGAUAUGAUUCACUUCCUCAUGAGGAUGUUAAUGCAAAACACCUAAUUUGUUGAAGGAUCUGGGAAAUUUUGACCGGAAAAUUACAAGUGACACCAGGAAACUUGUCUAUCACACUUUAAUCAAAUUGCUCGAGGUAUUUUCUUGGGAACCAAUACUAUGCCAUGAUAAUGUAGAUGUGGGAUGGUCUAGACUAUCAGAUAUGGAUGUUAACGAGGGAAAGCUUCUUGGAUGUUCAUACAAUCAAAGUUGUGUUGGCAUAUGGGUUGUGGACCUCUCUUGCAUUGAACCAUAUGCAAUUGCUAGUCCUAGAUUAAAUGAUUAUUCAGGCCAAAGUCUACAUCAGAUGGUAAUCCAUCUAUGCCAGCUGAUAACAUAAAGUCUAGUAUGAGGAGGUUAUCAAUAUUACAGAGUUUUGAAACAAAUUCUAAAGAGACAAAAUCAUUAUCAGCAACAGUCAUUGCUCCAGCCAGGUGCCCCUCAAAUAAUUGGGGCAUGUGCUAGCACGAUAGCACCUCUGACAGCACCACCAUCUGUUUCUUCCUUUGUAAAAAGAAGUUUAUCAAAAUUUCAGUCUACAUCUGACCUUCAGACUAACAAAGCAGAUAUGGCACCUGCGAUUGUUCCAAGAACUAGCCCGAGGAUACACUUGCCCUCUGAUUUUACUAAAGACUUUGGGGUUGGUAAAACAAUGUCAUUUGAUAUCCAAUCAAAAUUUACUGAAUUUUGGAAGGUGUCAAACAUCAAAGAGAAUUUAGAUAAAACAGAUAUCCAUUCAGUUUGGGAGCAGUAGUAAUAUUGAACAAAAUGAAUUUCUGGGCCAGACUCCUAUUUCUUCUGGCAAUGCUGGAACUCAACAUGUGUCAGCUGAAGCAAAUAAUUUGGAUGGUGUUAAGAACUUGAUUAAAUAAAGGAUCAGGUCUAUCUAAUUCAUUCAAAGAGCCACAUUUGCACUUUGAUAAGGAAAAUUGGCACAAUUUCUGUUGUCGGCUUUUUGGCGUUUUAAAAAUAGUUGUUGGAACAUUGGUAGAACACAGUUUCUUAUUCCUUGGUGUUGGAGAGGUUUUACUCCUAAUCUCAAUUGGUUUAUUUGGUCUAUUGAAUGUGUUUAACACUUUAACUUUGAUUUUUUUUUCACUUGUGUAUUUUCUUGUGAACAUCUUAGUUUGCCAUUCUGGGAGUAUGAAUUCCUAUUUACUUAUGCUUCGUCCUUGUAUUUCAUAUUACAAAUCUUGUAAUGCAUAUAAUUAUAUGAGAAAUAGAUAUAGGAAGAUCAUGUCUAUUAGGAUUUUAUUUAUGAGGUGGGCUUCUGCUUUUUUAAAAAGAGGGUAGAAGAUAAUUUUUCCGAUUUUGUGGUUUGGAUAGAAAUCUACUGUUUGCCAUAAUUUCGCUAUGCUACUUAGUGUUAAGUGUACAUGUUACAUUUUAUGUGACUUUAAUUAUUGCACUAUGUAGGUACAUGUUUCAAGAGUAUUUUAACUAAUCUCAG